GACGAACGCUUGCGACGUGCCUAAGAAAUGCAAGUCGAACGAGGCAGCAAUGCCGAGUGGCGAACGGUCGCGUAACACGUGGGCAACCUGCCCCGAAGCGGGGGACAACAACCCGAAAGGGUUGCUAAUACCGCAUGUGGAUCGCUGUGGCAUCACAGAGGAUCCAAAGCCGCAAGGCACUUCGGGAUGGGCCCGCGGCCUAUCAGCUUGUUGGUGAGGUAACGGCCCACCAAGGCUUCGACGGGUAGCUGGUCUGGGAGGACGAUCAGCCGGAUUG
Molecule: ribosomal RNA, 277 nt
Filed under: uncultured bacterium
Lineage: Bacteria
Description: partial 16S ribosomal RNA
Rfam family: Bacterial small subunit ribosomal RNA
Source: RNAcentral